RNAcentral lists this small RNA (328 nucleotides) under Pongo abelii (Sumatran orangutan). Its description in RNAcentral is "retained intron". Lineage: Eukaryota; Metazoa; Chordata; Mammalia; Primates; Hominidae. The record is from RNAcentral.
AAUGAUGCCAAUGGGUGGAAUGAUGCCACCUGGACCAGGAAUACCACCUCUGAUGCCUGGAAUGCCACCAGGUAUGCCCCCACCUGUUCCACGUCCUGGAAUUCCUCCAAUGACCCAAGCACAGGCUGUUUCAGCGCCAGGUAUUCUUAAUAGACCACCUGCACCAACAGCAACUGUACCUGCCCCACAGCCUCCAGUUACUAAGCCUCUUUUCCCCAGUGCUGGACAGGUAAGGUGAAAAUCCUGAAAAGGAGUGCACUUAUAUUUAAAGAUAAAGUACAGUUGUUUACAGAAGUCUGAAAUUUUCAUAGGUCAAUUUUUUAAAUAA